This 72-nucleotide transfer RNA is filed under the name Candidatus Zixiibacteriota bacterium. RNAcentral describes it as "candidate division Zixibacteria bacterium tRNA-Arg". It matches the Rfam family "tRNA". Rfam says of the family: Transfer RNA (tRNA) molecules are approximately 80 nucleotides in length. Their secondary structure includes four short double-helical elements and three loops (D, anti-codon, and T loops). Further hydrogen bonds mediate the characteristic L-shaped molecular structure. tRNAs have two regions of fundamental functional importance: the anti-codon, which is responsible for specific mRNA codon recognition, and the 3' end, to which the tRNAs corresponding amino acid is attached (by aminoacyl-tRNA synthetases). tRNAs cope with the degeneracy of the genetic code in two manners: having more than one tRNA (with a specific anti-codon) for a particular amino acid; and 'wobble' base-pairing, i.e. permitting non-standard base-pairing at the 3rd anti-codon position. Lineage: Bacteria; Pseudomonadati; Candidatus Zixiibacteriota. The record is from RNAcentral.
GCCCCCGUAGUGUAAAGGAUAGCGCACCGGCCUCCGGAGCCGGUAAUUCAGGUUCGAUUCCUGACGGGGGUA